UUUUUAUUUUUUUUAAAAAAAAUUCUAUCUCUACUACUACUAUAUUCUCCUCUCAAACAAAAAUCUGGAGCCUUAACGCUAACAUGCGCUGGGCUCUAUUUUCCACCGCCGCUGCCACCGCCACCGUCGAUUCGUCGAUCUAGGGUUUCUCUCUUGGUGGGUUUCGGAAAUUUUCUGAUCCAAUUUUAUAAGAACAGAGAAAUCUCUUAGUUCUUGAAAAAUGGGUCUUUUAAGUGCUUUUGCAGCUGGGUUUGUGGUUAUAUUGAUGGUCUUUGAAGGGAUGGCGUCGCCGGAGACUGUUAAUGUGUCGGUUCGCUCAGUUUGUCCAUUGAAAUCUGUUAAAGAUUCGAUUUUUAUGGGGUUUCAAGAUUUGACUUGUCCAUUAGAUGGGAUCCAAUCUUCUUAUGUGGCUGAAGUUAUUCAGGGAGAUGAGCUGUCAUUGCAGAGGGCACUAAGUAUGAUUCACCGGAAUACACAUGAUUAUGUUGCUUUGCUUUUCUAUGCAUCCUGGUGUCCUUUCUCUAGAAGUUUUAGGCCAAAAUUUUCCAUCAUGUCUUCUUUGUAUCCUUCAAUUCCCCAUUUCGCAAUUGAAGAGUCAGCUGUUAAGCCAAGCACUCUCUCAAAGUAUGGAGUUCAUGGGUUUCCGACUCUCUUCCUUUUAAACUCAACAAUGCGCAUGCGGUAUCAUGGCUCUCGCUCCCUUGAUUCAGUGAUUGAAUUCUAUGGUGGCACUACUGGUUUUCAUAGUGCUUCGGUGGAUGCCACUUCUCUUGGCAAAAUGGGAUGCUCCUCAAAUCUUUUGAAACUGCAUGGAAGUGACCAGGAAAACUGUCCAUUCUCCUGGGCCAGAUCUCCUGAGAACCUUUUUCAGCAAGAGACAUAUUUGGCCUUGGCCACUGCAUUUGUGCUAUUGAAAGUACUUUAUAUGAUAUUUCCAGCUUUACGUAAGAUAGCUCAAAUUGGCUUGGGAGGUUGCAUAUUACAAAUAAGAAUAAGAAGCUUGUGGGAGCUUCCUCUGCUAUACCUGAACCGAGCUGUACAAUUAUGUAAUUCGCUGAAGGAGCCAUGCAAAAGAAGCAACUUGCAGGAAGGAGCUAUGAAUGCCAAGGCAUGGGCUUCAAAGUCUUUAGCGUCUGUCUCAUUUGGAGAGUCUAGCGCUAGCCGGGUGGAACCAGUAAGUUCAACUCACUAAUUGCUUUGAUGGCCAUAUCUAUAAUCAUAGUGCUCUUUUAUAAUUGUUUUAGCCAACCAUAAUUGGUGCUGGUAUUAUCCGAUUGGCGCAGCACUAUGCAAUAUCAAGCUUUUGAAACGAUAUGCUUCAAUUUGAUGUAAUGUAGAUUAGAAUUUUUUUCUCACCGUCGGAGAAAUAAUGUACCCACAUUGUAUAUAGGUUUAACUAAUAGGCAGAGCUUUUGAAUUCAGAUCUGUGUUUAUUUAAUUAAAUCAAGACACCGUCUAGUUCCUUUUGUAUGCUAAGCUGUCUUGAGUCACAUCUUUUGUGAAACAAAAUUCAGGUGAAACUCAGAACACAUGUUUUGUGCUUUCUAUUUCUAAACCCUCUGCAUGCAGAAGCACUAAUGAGAAAAAGUGCAGAAGUGAUUAAAUCUGUUCUGAAGAAUUGCUGGGAAACGUUACACAAUCCGGGAAGAGUUCGGUUGGUUCCAAGAAAGGGUGAGCAUGAAAUGCUUUUAACUUUUUAAGUUGUUGAAUUAAACAAAGUUCUGAGGCCUUCCUUCUUCUUGAGGAUUCUCAUUUCCUAUUAUACCAAGUGUUGAAGCUUUUGUAUGUGAUAAUGGUUAUUCUCGGCAUCCAGGCCUCAUGCUUUUUACUCUAGGGUAGUUAAAAAAAUAUUAUGAUGAUGAUGAUGAACACAGAUUGAGCUUAAAUGAAGCAGCGGUAAUUCAUGCA
Solanum pennellii is the source of this 1908-nucleotide RNA transcript. It is a transcript of the gene named 5'-adenylylsulfate reductase-like 4, with no coding region annotated. The transcript has 5 exons. Lineage: Eukaryota; Viridiplantae; Streptophyta; Magnoliopsida; Solanales; Solanaceae. The record is from RefSeq and is a predicted model, not a curated record.